RNAcentral lists this ribosomal RNA (488 nucleotides) under uncultured bacterium. RNAcentral's name for it is "bacterial SSU rRNA". It matches the Rfam family "Bacterial small subunit ribosomal RNA", at positions 501 to 992 of the family's 1533-position model. The record is from RNAcentral.
CUACGUGCCAGCAGCCGCGGUAAUACGGAAGGUCCAGGCGUUAUCCGGAUUUAUUGGGUUUAAAGGGAGUGUAGGCGGUUUGUUAAGCGUGUUGUGAAAUUUAGGUGCUCAACAUUUAACUUGCAGCGCGAACUGUCAGACUUGAGUACACGCAACGUAUGCGGAAUUCAUGGUGUAGCGGUGAAAUGCUUAGAUAUCAUGAAGAACUCCGAUUGCGAAGGCAGCUGACGGGAGCGCAACUGACGCUUAAGCUCGAAGGUGCGGGUAUCGAACAGGAUUAGAUACCCUGGUAGUCCGCACAGUAAACGAUGGAUGCCCGCUGUUGGUACCUGGUAUCAGCGGCUAAGCGAAAGCAUUAAGCAUCCCACCUGGGGAGUACGCCGGCAACGGUGAAACUCAAAUGAAUUGACGGGGGCCCGCACAAGCGGUGGAGCAUGUGGUUUAAUUCGAUGCAACGCGAAGAACCUUACCUACUCUUGACAUCCAGA